RNAcentral lists this ribosomal RNA (253 nucleotides) under uncultured bacterium. Its description in RNAcentral is "partial 16S ribosomal RNA". It matches the Rfam family "Bacterial small subunit ribosomal RNA", at positions 524 to 776 of the family's 1533-position model. The record is from RNAcentral.
CACGUAGGGGGCGAGCGUUGUCCGGAUUUAUUGGGCGUAAAGAGCUCGUAGGCGGUCUGUCGCGUCUGCUGUGAAAACUCAGGGCUUAACCCUGAGCUUGCAGUGGGUACGGGCAGACUAGAGUGCGGUAGGGGAGACUGGAAUUCCUGGUGUAGCGGUGAAAUGCGCAGAUAUCGGAAGGAACGCCCGUGGCGAAAGCGGGCUCCUGGACCCCAACUGACGCUGAGGCGCGAAAGCCAGGGGAGCGAACGGG